CCCUUAGAUGUUCUGGGCCGCACGCGCGCUACACUGACCAGUACAACAAGCAUCCGUCCUUGGCCGACAGGCCCGGGCAAUCUUUGAACGCUGGUCGUGAUGGGGAUAGACUUUUGCAAUUUUUGGUCUUCAACGAGGAAUUCCUAGUAAGUGCAAGUCAUUAACUUGCGCUGAUUACGUCCCUGCCCUUUGUACACACCGCCCGUCGCUCCUACCGAUGAAUGGUCCGGUGAGGACUCAGGAUGCCUUUUGUCUCGGUUCGCCGUACAAAAGUGUCAGAAUUUGUUCAAACCUUAUCAUUUAAAGGAAGGAGAAGUCGUAACA
This 324-nucleotide ribosomal RNA is filed under the name uncultured eukaryote. RNAcentral's name for it is "partial 18S ribosomal RNA". It matches the Rfam family "Eukaryotic small subunit ribosomal RNA", at positions 1470 to 1796 of the family's 1831-position model. The record is from RNAcentral.